RNAcentral lists this unclassified non-coding RNA (201 nucleotides) under Hevea brasiliensis (rubber tree). Lineage: Eukaryota; Viridiplantae; Streptophyta; Magnoliopsida; Malpighiales; Euphorbiaceae. The record is from RNAcentral.
AACUUUGCAUCUGGAGGUUGUGUAAUUGGUAUACCUCUCCUAUAUAUCAUGGCAAUUCUGACCUUGAUUCACUGUGGGAAAAUGGUUUGGAGAAGAUUGAUGGAAAACCGAAGUCGACAGGGUAAUCGAUAACAUGUCAUUGAACUGAACUACUCUUCUGCCGUAAUAUUGCUAAUUCAGCAUCUUGAAGGUAUCUUCAAG